This 415-nucleotide ribosomal RNA is filed under the name uncultured bacterium. RNAcentral's name for it is "bacterial SSU rRNA". It matches the Rfam family "Bacterial small subunit ribosomal RNA", at positions 126 to 518 of the family's 1533-position model. The record is from RNAcentral.
GUGCCCAUAAGAGGGGGAGUAACAUCCGAAACGGGUGCUAAUACCGCAUAGUUUUCUUUGAUCGCAUGAUUGAGAAAGGAAAGACGGCCUUUGUGCUGUCGCUUAUGGAUGGACCCGCGGCGUAUUAGUUAGUUGGUGAGGUAACGGGCUCACCAAGACGAUGAUACGUAGCCGACCUGAGAGGGUGAUCGGCCACAUUGGGACUGAGACACGGCCCAAACUCCUACGGGAGGCAGCAGUAGGGAAUCUUCCGCAAUGGACGAAAGUCUGACGGAGCAACGCCGCGUGAGUGAAGGUAAAAGGGUUUUCGGAUCGUAAAACUCUGUUGUCAGAGAAGAACAAGUUGGAGAGUAACUGCUCCAGCCUUGACGGUAUCUGACCAGAAAGCCACGGCUAACUACGUGCCAGCAGCGGC